UUGUGGGGUGCUCGAGUGGCGAACGGGUGAGUAACACGUGAGUAACCUGCCCUUGACUUUGGGAUAACUUCAGGAAACUGGGGCUAAUACCGGAUAGGAGCUCCUGCUGCAUGGUGGGGGUUGGAAAGUUUCGGCGGUUGGGGAUGGACUCGCGGCUUAUCAGCUUGUUGGUGGGGUAGUGGCCUACCAAGGCGGCGACGGGUAGCCGGCCUGAGAGGGUGACCGGCCACAUUGGGACUGAGAUACGGCCCAG
RNAcentral lists this ribosomal RNA (253 nucleotides) under uncultured Actinomycetales bacterium. RNAcentral's name for it is "partial 16S ribosomal RNA". It matches the Rfam family "Bacterial small subunit ribosomal RNA", at positions 80 to 334 of the family's 1533-position model. Lineage: Bacteria; Bacillati; Actinomycetota; Actinomycetes; Actinomycetales. The record is from RNAcentral.